ACCCUCCUCCUCUAGAAGAGUUACCUGACUUUCUGAAACCCCUUGAACCAUUGACAGGAGAAUAGGUGAAGGCUGAUGCAGUGAUCAAGCUUGCCAUGCCUGUUCACAGUUCACACUCAAUGUGCUUCACUUACUAAACAGCGGAAAUCUGCAAGAAAAUUUUAAGAAAUUCAAAGACCUCCAACUUUAAUGACGAGCAUUGAAUAAAAGUUCUAAAAGAAAUCAACACAUUUGAAUUGCCUCCUCAAUUCCAAUGAGUAAUCCCUUUUACUUUUUAACUGCCAUAUACCAAAAAAAAAACUCACUAUGCCAUAACCUUCUGUACAUUCUGUAGUGCAAAGUGCAGUGAAGCUGCUCAGUCUCUCUAUUACCUUAUGUAAGUUUGUUUGCUGGAUUGUCAAAGUAUCCAACUUCAUUGUAAUUUUAAGAAGCCAAUAAGGCAAUUUCACGUACUGACAUACCACUAUAAUUUUUAGAAGUUGAGUUAAACCUAACUCUACCCCAAAAGUUAGCUUAGAGGUGAGAGUUCCUCUACCAUUUAUAAACACUCAUUUGACCAUAUUUCUAGUCAAUGUGAGAAUUCUCAACACACCCACGCAUGCCAAGGGCUUUCCAAUAAAUGGAUCUAUGAUAAGCUUUGUCAACAUCUUAAAAUUUGAGUUAGGCCUAAAUCCUAACUCUAUCCCAAAAGCUAGCUUACAGGUGAGAGUUGCUCUACCAUUUUUAGACACUUAUUUAGCUAUAUCUCUAGUCAAUGCGAGUCUUCUCAACAAUCAUUCUGAGACUUCUCAACAAUCAUUGGAAGGUAUGACAUGAAUAAAGAAAGGGUUCAUUCAAGGAAAGGGUGAGUCUAACAUAGUGCCUACCUACCACUUUUGCAACCCUAAAACAAUGAAAAGGACCAUAAAAAAAUAGGAAGUAAACAUAAAAAUCACCAAUCUUCCACCUGCAGUUGUUCCAAAUACUAAUCAUUGUCAUCCAUAUCCACCCAAAAAAGGAAGUAUAUAAUACAGUAAGAAAAUCUUCAGAACCCAAGGCACCCCAAAUCAAUUUACAAGAUAACACUACUCAUCUAAUUAGGGUUUGUUCACAAAGACCCAAUUGGUGAAUGCUUGAUAACAGAUAAGUGAUUGAUUCUCAUAUUUAACAUGAUAAGCUCCGAUUUUCUGACUUGACAUGAACACCCACCAAGACUUUAGGAAAAACAAGGAAACAAAUGAUUAAAGUUUGAAACUUUACCUGUUCAAAACAAAUGCAGAAGUGAAGAUUUGAAGAAGCAAUGAGGGUUUAGCUUCGUUCCUACAGCUAAACGAUAAACCCUCUC
RNAcentral lists this long non-coding RNA (1324 nucleotides) under Lotus japonicus. Its description in RNAcentral is "long non-coding RNA (LJAP_LNC001466)". Lineage: Eukaryota; Viridiplantae; Streptophyta; Magnoliopsida; Fabales; Fabaceae. The record is from RNAcentral.